This 108-nucleotide non-coding RNA is filed under the name Gloeochaete wittrockiana. The record is from RNAcentral. Lineage: Eukaryota; Glaucocystophyceae; Gloeochaetales; Gloeochaetaceae.
AAAAAAAGAAAAAAAAGGAUCUUGUCUCCCUUUCCUUCCUCUCUUUUUUUUACCAACUCUUUCUCCUUCCUCUCCCUCCUCUUCCUCAUUCAAAGAACAAAAAUAAAG